UGGGUGACCUGCCCUCAGCUCUGGGAUAAGCCCGGGAAACUGGGUCUAAUACCGGAUAUGACCUCUCAUCGCAUGGUGAGGGGUGGAAAGUUUUUCGGCUGGGGAUGGGCCCGCGGCCUAUCAGCUUGUUGGUGGGGUGAUGGCCUACCAAGGCGACGACGGGUAGCCGGCCUGAGAGGGCGACUGGCCACACUGGGACUGAGACACGGCCCAGACUCCUACGGGAG
Molecule: ribosomal RNA, 227 nt
Filed under: uncultured bacterium
Lineage: Bacteria
Description: partial 16S ribosomal RNA
Rfam family: Bacterial small subunit ribosomal RNA
Source: RNAcentral